RNAcentral lists this ribosomal RNA (253 nucleotides) under uncultured bacterium. Its description in RNAcentral is "partial 16S ribosomal RNA". It matches the Rfam family "Bacterial small subunit ribosomal RNA", at positions 524 to 776 of the family's 1533-position model. The record is from RNAcentral.
UACGUAGGUGGCGAGCGUUGUCCGGAUUUAUUGGGUUUAAAGGGUGCGUAGGCGGCUUUGUAAGUCAGUGGUGAAAUAUGUCAGCUCAACUGAGAGGGUGCCAUUGAUACUGCGGAGCUUGAGUACAGAUGAGGUAGGCGGAAUUGACGGUGUAGCGGUGAAAUGCUUAGAUAUCGUCAAGAACACCUAUAGCGAAGGCAGCUUACUAGGCUGUAACUGACGCUUAGGCACGAAAGUGUGGGGAUCAUACAGU